This 1332-nucleotide ribosomal RNA is filed under the name Drosophila melanogaster (fruit fly). Its description in RNAcentral is "SSU rRNA". The stretch from base 2 to 815 matches the Rfam family "Eukaryotic small subunit ribosomal RNA". Lineage: Eukaryota; Metazoa; Arthropoda; Insecta; Diptera; Drosophilidae. The record is from RNAcentral.
UCUGGUUGAUCCUGCCAGUAGUUAUAUGCUUGUCUCAAAGAUUAAGCCAUGCAUGUCUAAGUACACACGAAUUAAAAGUGAAACCGCAAAAGGCUCAUUAUAUCAGUUAUGGUUCCUUAGAUCGUUAACAGUUACUUGGAUAACUGUGGUAAUUCUAGAGCUAAUACAUGCAAUUAAAACAUGAACCUUAUGGGACAUGUGCUUUUAUUAGGCUAAAACCAAGCGAUCGCAAGAUCGUUAUAUUGGUUGAACUCUAGAUAACAUGCAGAUCGUAUGGUCUUGUACGACGACAGAUCUUUCAAAUGUCUGCCCUAUCAACUUUUGAUGGUAGUAUCUAGGACUACCAUGGUUGCAACGGGUAACGGGAAUCAGGGUUCGAUUCCGGAGAGGGAGCCUGAGAAACGGCUACCACAUCUAAGGAAGGCAGCAGGCGCGUAAUUACCCACUCCAGCUCGGGGAGGUAGUGACGAAAAAUAACAAUACAGGACUCAUAUCCGAGGCCUGUAAUUGGAAUGAGUACACUUUAAAUCCUUUACAAGGACCAAUUGAGGGCAAGUCUGGUGCCAGCAGCGCGUAAUUCCAGCUCCAAUAGCGUAUAUUAAAGUUGUUGCGGUUAAAACGUUCGUAGUUGAACUUGUGCUUCAUACGGGUAGUACAACUUACAAUUGUGGUUAGUACUAUAGUCAUGUAUACCCUUACAUACCCUCUUAUUAGAUUAAGUUAUGUUAGAAUACACAUGGCGCUAAGCUUUUUGUCUGAGCUUAGCUUUAUUUUUAGUCAGUAGACAAGAAGACCUCGAUCUGUACACAUCAUUGAAUAAACCCUCAAUUUGUUAAGCGAAACCUUUCGUUUUGUUUUAACCCCUCUUUAAUCGCAACAAAGAAGUCGAUGGGUGCUUAACUGAGGAGUUCAACCUCCAACCUACAGACGACAACGAAGUCGUUUCUGGAGGCAACGAUCUUUUGGACACAACGGUCUCUGCUCGGAAGGCCAUCAACCUUCCACAUAACUGGCGACGAGGAUCAACACAGAAAAAAUAAGGAAACAGCCAUACGUCAAGAAAUUCAUUCGAGAACCACAGUAAGCUGUUCUUAUGUAAUUUAAGUCCGGAAAUUUCAAUACGUUAACCAAUGCACGUGGCCGAGUAUAAAGAGGAACAAAACAUAACUGGAAAGCUUUGAACACCUGCAUGUACGGAGUGACGAAACCCAACCUGGAGAAGAAGAACUUAAGCUGAUAAAUUUUUUUUUCUUCGACAAAGCUCUUAUACUAGCUAAGAUAAGAAACUAAAAGCUAACUAUUAAUACUUGCGAACCUCGAGAGAAAACAAAG